GUGCCAGCAGCCGCGGUAACACGUAGGGACCGAGCGUUGUCCGGAUUCAUUGGGCGUAAAGAGCUCGUAGGCGGUUCGGUAAGUCGGGUGUGAAAACCCCGGGCUCAACUCGGGGACGCCACUCGAUACUGCCGUGACUUGAGUCCAGUAGGGGAGUGCGGAAUUCCUGGUGUAGCGGUGAAAUGCGCAGAUAUCAGGAGGAACACCGGUGGCGAAGGCGGCACUCUGGGCUGGAACUGACGCUGAGGAGCGAAAGCGUGGGUAGCAAACAGGAUUAGAAACCCUGGUAGUCC
This 293-nucleotide ribosomal RNA is filed under the name uncultured bacterium. RNAcentral's name for it is "partial 16S ribosomal RNA". It matches the Rfam family "Bacterial small subunit ribosomal RNA", at positions 505 to 796 of the family's 1533-position model. The record is from RNAcentral.